GCCAGGUGUGGUGGCGUGCGCCUGUAAUCCCAGCUACUUUGGGAGGCCGAGGCGGGUGGAUCACCUGAGGUCAGGAGUUUGAGACCAGCCUGGCCAACAUGGUGAAACCCUGUCUCUA
Molecule: non-coding RNA, 118 nt
Organism: Homo sapiens (human)
Lineage: Eukaryota; Metazoa; Chordata; Mammalia; Primates; Hominidae
Rfam family: Metazoan signal recognition particle RNA
About the family: The signal recognition particle (SRP) is a universally conserved ribonucleoprotein. It is involved in the co-translational targeting of proteins to membranes.
Source: Rfam